RNAcentral lists this ribosomal RNA (499 nucleotides) under uncultured Glomeromycotina. Its description in RNAcentral is "partial small subunit ribosomal RNA". It matches the Rfam family "Eukaryotic small subunit ribosomal RNA", at positions 591 to 1092 of the family's 1831-position model. The record is from RNAcentral. Lineage: Eukaryota; Fungi; Glomeromycota.
CCAAUAGCGUAUAUUAAAGUUGCUGCAGUUAAAAAGCUCGUAGUUGAAUUUCGGGACUAAUAUAUCGGUCGUGCCUAGGUACGUACUGGUAUUUUUGGUUUCUCCCUUCUGACGAACCUUGAUGUCAUUAAUUUGGUGUCUUGGGGAAUCAGGACUGUUACUUUGAAAAAAUUAGAGUGUUUAAAGCAGGCUCACGCUUGAAUACAUUAGCAUGGAAUAAUGAAAUAGGACGUUUGAUUCUAUUUUGUUGGUUUCUAGGAUCGACGUAAUGAUUAAUAGGGAUAGUUGGGGGCAUUAGUAUUCAAUUGUCAGAGGUGAAAUUCUUGGAUUUAUUGAAGACUAACUACUGCGAAAGCAUUUGCCAAGGAUGUUUUCAUUAAUCAAGAACGAAAGUUAGGGGAUCGAAGACGAUCAGAUACCGUCGUAGUCUUAACCAUAAACUAUGCCGACUAGGGAUCGGAUGAUGUUAAUUUUUUAAUGACUCAUUCGGCGCCUUACG